Non-coding RNA from Ceratotherium simum simum (southern white rhinoceros), 450 nucleotides. Lineage: Eukaryota; Metazoa; Chordata; Mammalia; Perissodactyla; Rhinocerotidae. The record is from RefSeq and is a predicted model, not a curated record.
GUGGUGCGGGAACUGCUGGCUCAAUACACCAAACAGUAUGAAGAAAGACCAUUCAUUACGCUGCUGCGAAACUGGGCCGAGUCGGGAGGUGACAAGCUGAGAACCAGUUUCCUGGCAUUUAACGUGGACACAGUCGGUAAUCUCACCUUUCUGUUGAAAGCAGUGAAUUUUCGUGAAAGGGUUCUUCAGCGGAGUUUGGUGGCCAGAAUUUAUUAUAAGGUGAUGACCAAGAAGGAGGACUUUUUCAGGGCCUGGAACUCGUGUCUUCAUCACGUUACCUCCCUGUCGCUGGCACACAUCCACAGAGGUCAGUUGGCUCUGGUUGCGUGUUCAUAAUUGAGUGACUCAGAGGGUGGCAGGUUAUCUGAGAAUAAGACUCUGCAGAGAAAGAACAGUCCCCACCCCAGUCUGAGCCCUCAUGUUGAAUUUAGGGCCCCCAAAUAACGUAAC